This 490-nucleotide ribosomal RNA is filed under the name uncultured bacterium. Its description in RNAcentral is "partial 16S ribosomal RNA". It matches the Rfam family "Bacterial small subunit ribosomal RNA", at positions 30 to 507 of the family's 1533-position model. The record is from RNAcentral.
AUUGAACGCUGGCGGCAGGCCUAACACAUGCCAGUCGAACGGUAACAGGAAGAAGCUUGCUUCUUUGCUGACGAGUGGCGGACGGGUGAGUAAUGUCUGGGAAACUGCCUGAUGGAGGGGGAUAACUACUGGAAACGGUAGCUAAUACCGCAUAACGUCGCAAGACCAAAGAGGGGGACCUUCGGGCCUCUUGCCAUCGGAUGUGCCCAGAUGGGAUUAGCUAGUAGGUGGGGUAACGGCUCACCUAGGCGACGAUCCCUAGCUGGUCUGAGAAGAUGACCAGCCACACUGGAACUGAGACACGGUCCAGACUCCUACGGGAGGCAGCAGUGGGGAAUAUUGCACAAUGGGCGCAAGCCUGAUGCAGCCAUGCCGCGUGUAUGAAGAAGGCCUUCGGGUUGUAAAGUACUUUCAGCGGGGAGGAAGGGAGUAAAGUUAAUACCUUUACUCAUUGACGUUACCCGCAGAAGAAGCACCGGCUAACUCCGUG